This is a long non-coding RNA of Helianthus annuus (common sunflower), 587 nucleotides long. RefSeq lists it as uncharacterized. Lineage: Eukaryota; Viridiplantae; Streptophyta; Magnoliopsida; Asterales; Asteraceae. The transcript is spliced from 3 exons. The record is from RefSeq and is a predicted model, not a curated record.
CCUAGUUUGUUUUUCUAUGUUAGUUACAAGAAGGAAAUAAAUAAAUUAUCAAAACUACAAGGGUUGAACUUGUACAUUUUAAUUAAAGUUUGGUUAAGUAGUGGAAGAUCACAAACAUCAGACAUAAGUCUGAUGUUGGUGUCGAUGCAAGCCAAGGGCCAAGAAGGGUUUCUCAUGAUGAUGAAAUGUUGAAGAAUUGAAGCAAAAUCCAGCCUUAAUUCUCUUGCAUGUGUAGAGAUUCUACAUCAAAAAGCUAUAUGAAACAUGUGUAUAGGGAUCAUGUCGAGAUGGAUGGAAGCAUAAACGGCUAACGGGUCAUGAGGACAUGAGGAAACGAGAGCGAAUAUGGAUGCAUAAGGUAAAUCCUCAAUUUUGGUGACUUGGAGAAUCGGAGCGAGCGUGAGUUCAUGUUAUGCCAUACCAAACGCUUCCGCUUGCUUGUUCAAAUGUUUUUGAUCCAAAAUUUGUUGUAUUGGUUUUUUUAGUAGUAUCUUGUUGAACGAAUUGUAGAAUUGUAUCUAGUUUGUUUAUGUUUAAAACAGGGGUAUGCUCGUUUUAUGGACGGGUCAUGCCCGAUUUUUGUUAAA